This 488-nucleotide ribosomal RNA is filed under the name Rana luteiventris (Great Basin spotted frog). RNAcentral describes it as "partial 12S ribosomal RNA". It matches the Rfam family "Bacterial small subunit ribosomal RNA", at positions 799 to 1533 of the family's 1533-position model. Lineage: Eukaryota; Metazoa; Chordata; Amphibia; Anura; Ranidae. The record is from RNAcentral.
GCCGUAAACAAUUAACUUACAUUUCCAGCGCCAGGGAAUUACGAGCAAUGCUUAAAACCCAAAGGAUUUGACGGUGUCCCACCCCACUAGAGGAGCCUGUUCUAUAAUCGAUGAUCCCCGCUUCACCUGACCACUCCUCGCUUAUCAGUCUGUAUACCUCCGUCGAAAGCUUACCAUGUGAACGCCCGCAGUAAGCCUAAUGAUUCUACCAUCAACACGUCAGGUCAAGGUGCAGCUCAAGGAAUGGGAAGUAAUGGGCUACAAUUUCUAAUUUAGAACAAACGAAAGACUAUGUGAAACCCUAGUCAUGAAGGUGGAUUUAGUAGUAAAAAGAAAAUAGAGUAUUCUUUUUAACCCGGCUCUGGGACGCGUACACACCGCCCGUCACCCUCUUCAAUAGUAUUUUUUUGUUCCUAACCCCCUACACACGUCUUAGAAGAGGCAAGUCGUAACAUGGUAAGUGUACUGGAAAGUGCACUUGGUAUACU